RNAcentral lists this ribosomal RNA (433 nucleotides) under uncultured bacterium. Its description in RNAcentral is "partial 16S ribosomal RNA". It matches the Rfam family "Bacterial small subunit ribosomal RNA", at positions 29 to 507 of the family's 1533-position model. The record is from RNAcentral.
AACGAACGCUGGCGGCAGGCCUAACACAUGCAAGUCGAGCGAGGACUUCGGUUCUAGCGGCGGACGGGGGAGUAACGCGGGGGAAUGUGCCCUUCUCUACGGAAUAGCCCUGGGAAACUGGGAGUAAUACCGGAUACGCCCUUUUGGGGAAAGAUUUAUCGGAGAAGGAUCAGCCCGCGUUGGAUUAGGUAGUUGGUGGGGUAAUGGCCUACCAAGCCGACGAUCCAUAGCUGGUUUGAGAGGAUGAUCAGCCACACUGGGACUGAGACACGGCCCAGACUCCUACGGGAGGCAGCAGUGGGGAAUCUUAGACAAUGGGGGCAACCCUGAUCUAGCCAUGCCGCGUGAGUGAUGAAGGCCUUAGGGUUGUAAAGCUCUUUCAGCUGGGAAGAUAAUGACGGUACCAGCAGAAGAAGCCCCGGCUAACUCCGUG